This 24-nucleotide ribosomal RNA is filed under the name Sclerotinia sclerotiorum. RNAcentral's name for it is "partial 18S ribosomal RNA". The record is from RNAcentral. Lineage: Eukaryota; Fungi; Ascomycota; Leotiomycetes; Helotiales; Sclerotiniaceae.
GUGAACUGCGGAAGGAUCAUUACA